GGUUGGAUCAUUAACAAAUUAUUUAGGCCCCUGGCUGCCUCAAAAGGGCGAAGGGGGGAAACCUAAACAUUUGUGUGCACCAUAUCUGUCUUUGGCAGUUCGAGUGUCUUGGGUGCGUAACUGCCUCAAGUACCUACCGAGGCUUGCCUUUCGGGGCUUGCCAGAGUUGGGCUGCCGCUUUUUUGAACAAACCUUUUGUUGUUUUUGUUUUGACUGAAUUUGUUUGAUCUUUAAGAUUGAAUUUAAAUACAACUUUUGACAACGGAUCUCUUGGCUCUCGCAACGAUGAAGAACGCAGCGAAAUGCGAUAAGUAAUGUGAAUUGCAGAAUUCAGUGAAUCAUCGAAUCUUUGAACGCACAUUGCGCUCCCUGGUAUUCCGGAGAGCAUGCCUGUUUGAGAAUCAGUAAAUUCAUCAUCUCUAGGUUCUGGGAAGUCUUUCCCGGACCCUGGAGUUUGGAUUUGGGCUUUUUGCAACCUAGGUUGCAAUAGCCUGGAAUUGAAUGUUACGCUCGGUCGGACUGGAAGGUCUUGGGCAAACGCAUGAAUGAGGCAACUCAGCAGUACGUGAGCCUUUGAGAACUUCUCAAUUCAAUCGUCGGGUAACUCCCUUGAUGAACCAGAGUUUGCUUGCAUUAGCUGGCUUAUUCUGAACACUUGGUCUCAAAUCAGGUAGGAAAACCCGCUGAACUUAAGCAUAUCAAUAAGCGGAGGAAAAGAAACUAACAAGGAUUCCCCUAGUAACGGCGAGUGAAGCGGGAACAGCUCAAAUUUGAAAUCUCACAGGGUUACCUGUGCGAAUUGUAGUUUAUAGAAACGUUUUCGGGGGUGGCCCUGGCAUAAGUCCUUUGGAAUGAGGCAUCAUAGAGGGUGAGAAUCCCGUUUAUGGUCAGGUGUCCGCUCCUAUGUGAUACGUUUUCUAAGAGUCGGUUUGUUUGGGAAUGCAGACCAAAAUGGGUGGUAAAUACCAUCUAAAGCUAAAUAUUGGCGAGAGACCGAUAGCGAACAAGUACCGUGAGGGAAAGAUGAAAAGAACUUUGAAAAGAGAGUUAAAAGUACGUGAAAUUGUCAAAAGGGAAACGCUUGAAACCAGUAUUGCGUUCAGGUAAUCAGCCAUUCCUUUUGGGGUGGUGCACUUGCCUGUUUGCGGGUCAACAUCAGUUUGACUCGGGAUAAAAAGCCUUGAGAAGGUAGCCCCUCGGGGUGUUACAGCUCAAGGUCAUGUCUCGGGUUGGACUGAGGUCUGCAGUGUUAUUUGGGUAGCCAGUCGCCUCUCGAAACCCUGUUGUAGACAGCAUGCUGACUAUGGCUUGGUCUAGGGAGCACGGUUGGGAUUCCACACCAACACUUAGGAUGUUGACGAAAUGGUUUCAAACGACCCGUCUUGAAACACGGACCAAGGAGUCUAACAUAUAUGCGAGUGUUUGGGUGGCAAACCCUUACGCGAAAUGAAAGUGAACUUAGGUGGGAUCUUCGGUGCACCAUCGACCGGUCUGGAUUUUUUUGAUAGAUCUGAGUAAGAGCAUAUCUGUUGGGACCCGAAAGAUGGUGAACUAUGCCUGAAUAGGGUGAAGCCAGAGGAAACUCUGGUGGAGGCUCGUAGCGAUUCUGACGUGCAAAUCGAUCGUCAAAUUUGGGUAUAGGGGCGAAAGACUAAUCGAACCAUCUAGUAGCUGGUUCCCUC
RNAcentral lists this unclassified non-coding RNA (1682 nucleotides) under uncultured Rhizophlyctidales. Its description in RNAcentral is "sequence contains 18S rRNA gene, ITS1, 5.8S rRNA gene, ITS2, 28S rRNA gene". The stretch from base 657 to 1682 matches the Rfam family "Eukaryotic large subunit ribosomal RNA", at positions 1 to 961 of the family's 3401-position model. Lineage: Eukaryota; Fungi; Chytridiomycota; Chytridiomycetes; Rhizophlyctidales. The record is from RNAcentral.